CACACACACACGCACGCGCACACACACGCACACGCACGCGCACACACACGCUAGCAAGCACAUACAUCACGUAUACACACAGCACAUGUACACCAAAAUGGAAGAGGAAAAACAGUGUGGCUGAGGCCAGGUGCCCCAGCGCUAUUCUCCAUCAGCGCUAUCUCCUCCAUGAACCCUCAGGUCUCGACUUCCCCCAGUGACAACAUGAGGGCCUUGUUCAGUGGUGGUGAGCAGGAGUCAGCACUUUAGCAUUGCCCCCAAAAGGGCUCACACCUUAGUCCUGAGAAUGUGUGAAUGCCCUUCACAAGGGGGCUCGAGCUGAAGAUUCAGGUGACGAUGCAGAGAUGAGCCUGGGGAAUUCAGGGAAUCUAACACACCGGCAUGAAUGUGGAAGCAUGUUCCAGUGUCCCAGCUGAAAUCACAGGACUGAAUCUUCUUGAAGCCAGGAAAGAGGCCUCCUUCACCCAGGAUGUAGCUGGAACCUUUGGACCCAAGGUUCUCCCCGCAACCAGGAGGGAGAGUCACAAGUUCCCAGCCCUCAAAGGUCACCUUCUGGCUGUGAGCAUGGCCUGGAAAACCCUCAACUUCCUGAAUGGCUUCUGGUACUCCCUAAUCACAGGAAAGCUUGUCCUACACCUCAUAGCAUUGACUUCAGCAUGGCCUCCAUAGAGAGGGGGCCCUUUGCAAAG
This 689-nucleotide long non-coding RNA is filed under the name Cricetulus griseus (Chinese hamster). RNAcentral describes it as "lncRNA (ENSCGRG00000024865.1)". The record is from RNAcentral. Lineage: Eukaryota; Metazoa; Chordata; Mammalia; Rodentia; Cricetidae.